CCUACGGGAGGCAGCAGUGAGGAAUAUUGGUCAAUGGGCGGGAGCCUGAACCAGCCAAGUCGCGUGAGGGAAGACGGUCCUAUGGAUUGUAAACCUCUUUAGGCGGGGAGCAAGGCCGGGCACGCGUGCCCGGAGGGAGAGGACCCGCAGAAGAAGCAUCGGCUAACUCCGUGCCAGCAGCCGCGGUAAUACGGAGGAUGCGAGCGUGAUCCGGAUUUCUUGGGUUGAAAGGGUGCGUAGGCGGAUUUUUAAGUCAGCGGUAAUAUGUCCGGGCUCAACCCGGGCCGGCCGUUGAAACUGGGGAUCUUGAGUGGGCGAGAAGUAUGCGGAAUGCCUGGUGUAGCGGUGAAAUGCCUAGAUAUCACGCAGAACUCCGAUUGCGAAGGCAGCCUACCGGCGCCCGACUGACGCUGAGGCACGAAAGCGUGGGGAUCGAACAGGAUUAGAUACCCGGGUAGUC
RNAcentral lists this ribosomal RNA (460 nucleotides) under uncultured bacterium. RNAcentral's name for it is "partial 16S ribosomal RNA". It matches the Rfam family "Bacterial small subunit ribosomal RNA", at positions 338 to 795 of the family's 1533-position model. The record is from RNAcentral.